GAUGAACGCUGGCGGCGUGCUUAACACAUGCAAGUUGAACGAAGUGGCGGAUGGGCGAGUAACACGUGAGGAACCAGCCUUUCACAGGGGAAUAACACUGGGAAACCAGUGCUAAUACCGCAUAGCGAAUAAUGGCCUCGCGCCUGAUUAGCUAGUAGGUGAGGUAACGGCUCACCUAGGUGAUGAUCAGUAGCCGGACUGAAGGUUGAUCGGCCGCAUUGGGACGGAGACACGGCCCAGACUCCUACGGGAGGCAGCAGUGGGGAAUAUUGGGCAAUGGCGCAAGCCUGACCCAGCAACGCCGCGUGAAGGAAGACGGUCUUCGGAUUGUAAACUUCUUUAGACAGGGACGCGUUACCCGCAGAAGAAGCACCGGCUAACUCCGUGCCAGCAGCCGCGGUAAUUC
RNAcentral lists this ribosomal RNA (406 nucleotides) under uncultured bacterium. Its description in RNAcentral is "partial 16S ribosomal RNA". It matches the Rfam family "Bacterial small subunit ribosomal RNA", at positions 28 to 526 of the family's 1533-position model. The record is from RNAcentral.